UACGGAGGACGCGAGCGUUAUCCGGAUUUAUUGGGUUUAAAGGGUGCGCAGGCGGCACGGCAAGCCGGCGGUCAAAUCGCGGGGCUCAACCCCGCCCAGCCGUCGGAACUGCCGGGCUAGAGUGGGCGAGAAGUGCGCGGAAUGCGUGGUGUAGCGGUGAAAUGCAUAGAUAUCACGCAGAACUCCGAUUGCGAAGGCAGCGCACCGGCGCCCUACUGACGCUCAGGCACGAAAGCGUGGGUAUCGAACAGG
This 252-nucleotide ribosomal RNA is filed under the name uncultured bacterium. Its description in RNAcentral is "partial 16S ribosomal RNA". It matches the Rfam family "Bacterial small subunit ribosomal RNA", at positions 524 to 776 of the family's 1533-position model. The record is from RNAcentral.